Molecule: ribosomal RNA, 195 nt
Filed under: uncultured bacterium
Lineage: Bacteria
Description: partial 16S ribosomal RNA
Rfam family: Bacterial small subunit ribosomal RNA
Source: RNAcentral
CCCCUACGGGAGGCAGCAGUGAGGAAUAUUGGUCAAUGGACGGAAGUCUGAACCAGCCAAGUAGCGUGCAGGAAGACGGCCCUAUGGGUUGUAAACUGCUUUUAUGCGGGGAUAAAGUUAGUCACGUGUGACUAUUUGCAGGUACCGCAUGAAUAAGGACCGGCUAAUUCCGUGCCAGCAGCCGCGGUAAUGGGG